Molecule: ribosomal RNA, 602 nt
Filed under: Cytophagaceae bacterium
Lineage: Bacteria; Pseudomonadati; Bacteroidota; Cytophagia; Cytophagales; Cytophagaceae
Description: partial 23S ribosomal RNA
Rfam family: Bacterial large subunit ribosomal RNA
Source: RNAcentral
UUCAAGUUUUUAAGAGCAAACGGUGAAUGCCUUGGCAUCUGGAGCCGAAGAAGGACGUCGUAAUCUGCGAUAAGCCUCGGGGAGCUGAUAAACGAGCUGUGAUCCGAGGAUUUCCGAAUGGGGAAACCCCGCCAGGCCCCUUGUGGUGACCUGGUGACUCCCGCCUGAAUAUAUAGGGCGGGUAGAGGGAACGUGGGGAAGUGAAACAUCUCAGUACCCACAGGAAGAGAAAACAAUAGUGAUUCCGUGAGUAGUGGCGAGCGAAACCGGAACAGGCUAAACCGAUCAUGUGUGAUAGCCGGCAGGCGUUGCAUGGUCGGGGUUGUGGGACUUUCCAGCAGUUACUGCCGUACUGCGAGAGUUACAGCGCUAUAUAGAUGAAUGGGAUUGAAAGCCCAGCCGGAGAAGGUGCCAGCCCUGUAGUCGAAAUGUAGUUAUGGCUCGGUGAGUAUCCCAAGUAUCGCGGGGCCCGAGAAAUCCCGCGUGAAUCUGUCAGGACCACCUGAUAAGCCUAAAUACUCCCAGAUGACCGAUAGCGGACAAGUACCGUGAGGGAAAGGUGAAAAGUACCCCGGGAGGGGAGUGAAAUAGUACCUGAAACC